Molecule: long non-coding RNA, 264 nt
Filed under: Elaeis guineensis (African oil palm)
Lineage: Eukaryota; Viridiplantae; Streptophyta; Magnoliopsida; Arecales; Arecaceae
Description: long non-coding RNA (EGUI_LNC051788)
Source: RNAcentral
UGUCCACGCAUUGCAUUAAAUUAUCGUCCGUCGAACUUCUUUUGUCUCUCGACUUGUUCGACGUCGACAUGGUUUGAAGAUUCCCAGCCGUUAUCGUGUUGUUUUACUUUUCUUGUCGCCUUUCUUUCUCUUUCCUCCUUGUUCAAUCUUGUAUUAGGCCAUCGUUCACCGAACUUCUUUUGUCUUUCAACUUGUUUGGCGUCGGUGUCACUCGGAGAUGUCCAGUCAUCGCCACAUUGAUUUGCUCUUCUUAUCGUCCAUGGC